GGGGAUGUUCUGGUUUUGACAGCAAGGAGAAUUAGGACGUAAGCAUGUCGAGCGUUGAGAUGGUGGCUCGUAAAUCCCAACACUCAAGCCAUAACUGGCGAAAAUAACUAUGCACUCGCUGCUUAAUAUGCCAAGCAUAUUAACUUAAUCAGGUAGCCCAAGGUUGGUUAUCAGACGAGAAUCCCGCGGGUAGCUCUGCCUUUUAGCUAUUUUGCAAUGGGGUUUCAUUAAAAAAGGAUAGUACAAACUUAUGCCUUUACGUUUGUGCGAAAUUUUAAAGGAUAAGGAGUAUUUUUGGUUGUUUUCUACCUGAAAUAUUCUCGAAAAUUAAAAGAAAAAUAAGCAUGUAGAAAGCGUAUUGGUUACUUGUUUGGACGCGGGUUCGACUCCCGCCAUCUCCACUU
RNAcentral lists this transfer-messenger RNA (404 nucleotides) under Prevotellaceae bacterium. It matches the Rfam family "transfer-messenger RNA". From Rfam's summary of the family: Bacterial tmRNA, also known as 10Sa RNA or SsrA, is named for its dual tRNA and mRNA-like properties. Its role is to liberate the mRNA from a stalled ribosome. To accomplish this part of the tmRNA is used as a reading frame that ends in a translation stop signal. Lineage: Bacteria; Pseudomonadati; Bacteroidota; Bacteroidia; Bacteroidales; Prevotellaceae. The record is from RNAcentral.